GAAGGGGGCUAGCGUUGUUCGGAAUUACUGGGCGUAAAGCGCGUGUAGGCGGGUCUUUAAGUCAGGGGUGAAAUGCCAGGGCUCAACCUUGGAACUGCCUUUGAUACUGGGGACCUUGAGUCCGGGAGAGGUGAGUGGAAUUGCGAGUGUAGAGGUGAAAUUCGUAGAUAUUCGCAAGAACACCAGUGGCGAAGGCGGCUCACUGGGUCUCUUCUGACGCUGAGGAACGAAAGCUAGGGGAGCAAACGGGAUUAGAUACCCCGGUAGUCCACGCCGUAAACGAUGGAUGCUAGCCGUUGGCGAGCUUGCUCGUCAGUGGCGCAGCUAACGCUUUAAGCAUCCCGCCUGGGGAGUACGGUCGCAAGAUUA
Molecule: ribosomal RNA, 369 nt
Filed under: uncultured bacterium
Lineage: Bacteria
Description: bacterial SSU rRNA
Rfam family: Bacterial small subunit ribosomal RNA
Source: RNAcentral